Molecule: small nucleolar RNA, 70 nt
Organism: Parambassis ranga (Indian glassy fish)
Lineage: Eukaryota; Metazoa; Chordata; Actinopteri; Ambassidae
Product: small nucleolar RNA, C/D box 2
Source: Ensembl
GAGUGAAAUGAUGCUUACCAUCUUUCGGGACUUACCCAAAAAUGGGGAUAAUUUUUCACACUGAUCACUC